GGAGAGAUGGCUUAGUGGUUAAGAGCACUGCACUGGCUGCUUUUCCAGAGGACCCGGGUUCAAUUCCCAGUACCUACU
Molecule: transfer RNA, 78 nt
Filed under: Mus musculus (house mouse)
Lineage: Eukaryota; Metazoa; Chordata; Mammalia; Rodentia; Muridae
Description: tRNA-Ala
Rfam family: tRNA
About the family: Transfer RNA (tRNA) molecules are approximately 80 nucleotides in length. Their secondary structure includes four short double-helical elements and three loops (D, anti-codon, and T loops).
Source: RNAcentral